GCUUAGGGAGGGUGGGGUACCCCAAACAUCCAGGCUUUGGGGGAAUCAGGAGGAGCUGGGGGAUCAAUCCCAAAUUUUGAUAGGGUGCUGCGACCCCUUUAGUGUUGGGGGGAGUGUGAUGGGCGCCGCAAGUGGGAGGGAAUGGGGGUGUCAGGAGGUGGAAGCCCCCCUCUCCGUGCUGCAGAACCAUCUUGGACCAAAGGGGCAAUACAAGGCCUUUUGAAGCUCCCUCCCUAUCCCGCAGUUUGGAGCCAGGGGAGGAAGGAACAAUGAGGAAAAACCACCUUUGGGCGGGGCUCCUUGGGGGCUAAAUCUGCCUUUUAUUUGGAAUUUGGAAUGGGAAACAUCGGGACAAUGAUCAUACUGGAGAAGCAGUUUUUAAUCCUGAGCAACACCCUGACAGCUUUUACUCAUGAAUAAAGAAACUGAUGCCAAUGUAUUUGCUCAGAUGUGAUCCUGACCACAGCUUCAAGAGUCCUCUGGAAUUUUUUCUCCUACUCUCCCUAGAGUACUGUAAAGACCAUGAGUUUUGUGGAUGAAUUACUGCCUUGGAUAGGGAUAACGAGGACUUCCUCCCCCAACCUUGGAAAAAUGUGGUGGAAUUGAAGUGCCCGGCGAGAGAUCCCCGCAGGAAUGGAAACAAACUGUUCUUUGCAGAAGCUGAUUAAUGUGGGCUAAUGGCUCAAAGCUGGCAUCUCUCCUGCUUUUUGGGUGCUGUACGGACCCUGGAUUCACCACAGGAUACCCUGGGCUGCUGCUUCUAGAGCCCCUGUCCUAACCUGGCCCUUAUUAGGGAUGUACACUGAUAGAUCGAAGAACUCCCGUGGUAAAAUGUCAUGCGGAAUUUGAGAUACGAUUGAAAAGGGUGGAACAGCAAGAUUGCUUCUGAAUUUAUCUACUGGCCAUCCCAGGAGAACAUCUUCAGGAAACGGUUUCCAGUCCAGAAGUUGUAUCUAUCAGGCCAGGGAGAGUCCAUCAUCUUCAUAAAUGUCACCGUCUUCUGCAUCUUCCCUCCUUUACACUGGAAAACAACCGCACCUGGAUUUGCUGCUUUCUUUGAAGGCAACCACAUUGGAGGUCCUCCUGCUGAGUCCUAACACAAAGAAAGCAAGUUCCACAAGUCAUUUUCCAUCACUGGUUUUGCUUUAUUACCCAUAAGGCAAAAAACACCAUGUAGCAACUUCAACUGUUUUUCUUUCAUCUUAUGGUAACUUUUGUCUGUUUAAUAAGCUUGACCUCAACUACUAGAGGGCAAGAAGGAACCUUCAGUGCAGUAAACUGGAGUGGAGAGGUGGAAACUACCUGCUGCUGGGGAAGCAGAGAGAUUGUGUGUCCCUGUCUGGAGUCCAGCUUCUCCCCACACAUCAUUCCAGAUGCUACCACUACCAUGGGGCAGGAGGAGAAUGUCACCCAGAAGAUCGAGAGCAACCAAAGAAUGCUCGCUAAGAUGGAAGACUCCCAGGAGUGAA
This is a long non-coding RNA of Ornithorhynchus anatinus (platypus), 1469 nucleotides long. RefSeq lists it as uncharacterized. The record is from RefSeq and is a predicted model, not a curated record. NCBI's taxonomy places the organism in Eukaryota, Metazoa, Chordata, Mammalia, Monotremata, Ornithorhynchidae. The transcript is spliced from 10 exons.